ACAGAACAUUGUUAAACGAUCAAGUGAGUUACACUUUGCCUAGGGGCUAUCUAUUACCCUUUUUGGUAUAAUUGUGCUCUUUGCUGUUUUAGAGGCGUUUAGUUAAAUAUUAAGAGUCAAACAAGGAUUAUUCUUCAGUGUCUUCACGUUUUGUAGAUUAUUGCCUGUAGAUUAUGACUGUUAUUUGGUUUGCAGAGUGAAAAUCGUUACUGGAAUCUGAUUAUCGCAACAGGCAUCUAUUUGGUUAUCUCUUUGUAACAAUGCGUCUCAUUAUUCUCGACACGGCCGAUUAUGUCGGCGAAUGGUCCGCCAAGUAUGUGAUGAAGCGAAUCAAUGACUUCAAACCGGGACCGGACCGAUAUUUCACGCUUGGUCUACCGACUGGAUCGACCCCGCUGGGGCUGUACAAGAAUCUGAUUAAGUUCCACAAUGCCGGCAAGAUAUCAUUCAAGUACGUGAAAACCUUCAACAUGGAUGAGUAUGUCAACCUGCCCCGGGAACACCCGGAAAGCUACCACUAUUUUAUGUGGCACAACUUUUUCAAACACAUCGACAUCGACCCGGUUAACGUGCACAUACUGAACGGUAACGCGCCGGAUCUGGUGGCGGAGUGUAAUGCCUUCGAGGACAAAAUCAAAGCUGCCGGCGGAAUUGAGCUUUUUAUAGGAGGAAUCGGACCGGACGGCCAUAUUGCCUUUAACGAGCCCGGAUCGUCGUUGGUUUCGAGAACCCGCGUGAAAACACUCGCCCAGGAUACACUGGAAGCAAAUGCGAGAUUUUUCGGCAAUGACAUCAACAAGGUGCCGAAACAGGCACUCACCGUCGGUGUUGGGACGGUGAUGGACUCCCGGGAGGUGAUGAUUUUGAUUAUCGGCGCGCACAAGGCGUUUGCACUGUACAAGGCCAUUGAGGAAGGUGUUAAUCAUAUGUGGACCGUAAGUGCCUUCCAGCAGCACCCGCACACGAUUAUGAUUUGCGACGAGGACGCCACGCUGGAGCUGCGCGUUAAGACGGUCAAGUAUUUCAAGGCUCUGAGCCAAAUUCAUCAUAAACUGAUCGAAGACGACGCAAAAGAUGUACGAAUGUUCAAAUAAUUCUAACUCUGUAGUUUGGAAGUUUUAGCCUGCUUGCAAACCUCUACUAUCGUGGCAUUUGACCAAUCAAAAACUACUCUUUGAUUCGAAGUGACCCGAUUGCACCAUCACCCAACAGCAAAGUCCAUUCCCGCAAGACCAAACAUCAUCAAAUGAGCCUGUACGAUGUUCAUUCGAAGCUGAUCGAAGGGACGUGAAGCGGCGGCCGGAACGAAACGGAAAUAUGUAUCAUGUUACUUCCUGCCGGAGAGUGAUCGAAACAAAUAAAAAAAAAAAAAACAAAAAUGAAAAAGCGCUCGAAUCCAAAGUGUAGUUUAAGUAAGUCAUUUGUUUGCCAGUUUUCCACUUCAUUUCAAUAAUAGUGUAACCAAUUUUUCACCUGC
This is an RNA transcript of Wyeomyia smithii (pitcher-plant mosquito), 1477 nucleotides long. It is a transcript of the gene named glucosamine-6-phosphate isomerase, with no coding region annotated. The record is from RefSeq and is a predicted model, not a curated record. Lineage: Eukaryota; Metazoa; Arthropoda; Insecta; Diptera; Culicidae. The transcript has 4 exons.